AAAAUUGACCCAGGGUCUUUUUCAGAAUUAGUACGAUUAAUUAAGCGAAACUGGAUCGUAUGUUAAGAGUUUUUUUGUUCAACGAUAUUUAUUUCAAAAGUCCAAAUUUAAAUUGGAUUUUUACAAAACGAAAAUGUCGAAAAUUUUGAUUCUACUUUUGAUCGUGGGGUUGAUAUCAAUGACUGCAGCUUUCAGUGUAAAUUUAGAAACUUGUCUAAAAGCAGGUCCUUGUAAAGAGCACAAGGAUUGCUGUACAGGAUACUGUAAAAGUUCAAGAUACACUUGGAGUACAAAAGAGAAAACUUGUAUAGAAAUGGUAUAUGUCGAGACUUAAAAAAAAAAUAUGUUACAAUAAAUCGUAGUCAAAUAAACAAAAAUAAUGUAGACUU
This is a long non-coding RNA of Microplitis demolitor, 389 nucleotides long. RefSeq lists it as uncharacterized. The record is from RefSeq and is a predicted model, not a curated record. The transcript has 4 exons. Lineage: Eukaryota; Metazoa; Arthropoda; Insecta; Hymenoptera; Braconidae.